UUUUUUUUUUUUGGUUUUGGUGUUUAUGAUGUCAACUUCAGAAGAAAAGGAAUAGCCAGCAACCGAUCAUAGCAGUUCCUAAUCAGAACUUUCUCCACAAUUUCCAGCGCCACCACUUUCGUCUUCCCGCCUUUCUUCUUUCCUUCACCAGCUCCUUCCCCUCCACCGUCCGCCUCCAACGCCACCACACAUCCACCCCUUUAUCGUAUCCCUUCCCGUUUUUUUAAUCUGCCACCGCUAUUGGCUUCCCAGAGCAAGACAGGUAUCCUAUCCUCCGCUAAAAUUUCAAGGAAACAAGGGCAGGGCGGUUAUAAUUACCUGUCUUGAAAUCACCCCUUUAAUUUAUUUAUUUGUAUUUUUCAUUUGGUCAGGUUAAGAAUUAAAGUUGUGACCUUUUCUAGUAUACUAAUCGAUGGAUUACGAAAGACUGACAUUUACCGCUUGCCUAUAUUGAAUUGUGUAAAGGCUUUGCUUUUUCUCGCAAGAUAUCAGUAAUUAUUUGUAUGCAAUUGAAAAUUUCGAGGUGGGAAUUAUUUGGUUAAUCAUCUGUGCCUGAUAUGUUAAACCCAUGUGGAAACUCUCUUCUAUUUUUUUUCCUAAAAUAUGAGUCUAUUGUUGUUUUUUCUUCUUAAAAUUUAAAUCUACCUAUGUCUCAUUCCUAAUUUUUCUUACUGCAGCUAAAAGUUUUGGACUUGAAUUCUCACAUUGCAAUAAGGAGUGAUGAAAAGUUAUUGAUGCUUUAAGUGCUUUCUUCCAAAGGCAGUAUGUCAUCCUCAGUUUAAUCAUUAGUAGAAUUUUGAGUGAUACUAGCAAUAAUUUCUUCUAAACUUGAUACCUUUGAACUUGUAUCAUUUUUCAUUCAGAUAAUUCAUUAGAUAAUUGAUUAAAUGAGUGUUUUUUAUUGAAAUGUGAGUGCACUAGACAGAUUAAUAAAUUAUUAAU
Molecule: long non-coding RNA, 942 nt
Filed under: Coffea arabica (coffee)
Lineage: Eukaryota; Viridiplantae; Streptophyta; Magnoliopsida; Gentianales; Rubiaceae
Description: long non-coding RNA (CARA_LNC005856)
Source: RNAcentral